RNAcentral lists this ribosomal RNA (253 nucleotides) under uncultured bacterium. RNAcentral describes it as "partial 16S ribosomal RNA". It matches the Rfam family "Bacterial small subunit ribosomal RNA", at positions 524 to 776 of the family's 1533-position model. The record is from RNAcentral.
UACGUAGGUGGCAAGCGUUAUCCGGAAUUAUUGGGCGUAAAGAGCUCGUAGGCGGUUUGUUGCGUCGGCUGUGAAAACCUGAGGCUCAACCUCAGGCCUGCAGUCGAUACGAGCAGACUAGAGUGUUGCAGGGGAGACUGGAAUUCCUGGUGUAGCGGUGAAAUGCGCAGAUAUCAGGAGGAACACCGGUGGCGAAGGCGGGUCUCUGGGCAACAACUGACGCUGAGGAGCGAAAGCGUGGGGAGCGAACAGG